GAUGAACGCUGGCGGCGUGCCUAAUACAUGCAAGUCGAGCGAACGGACGAGAAGCUUGCUUCUCUGAUGUUAGCGGCGGACGGGUGAGUAACACGUGGAUCACCUACCUAUAAGACUGGUAUAACUUCGGGAAACCGGAGCUAAUACCGGAUAAUAUUUUGAACCGCAUGGUUCAAAAGUGAAAGACGGUCUUGCUGUCACUUCUAGAUGGAUCCGCGCUGCAUUAGCUAGUUGGUAAGGUAACGGCUUACCAAGGCAACGAUGCAUAGCCGACCUGAGAGGGUGAUCGGCCACACUGGAACUGAGACACGGUCCAGACUCCUACGGGAGGCAGCAGUAGGGAAUCUUCCGCAAUGGGCGAAAGCCUGACGGAGCAACGCCGCGUGAGUGAUGAAGGUCUUCGGAUCGUAAAACUCUGUUAUUAGGGAAGAACAUAUGUGUAAGUAACUGUGCACAUCUUGACGGUACCUAAUCAGAAAGCCACGGCUAACUACGUG
This 497-nucleotide ribosomal RNA is filed under the name uncultured bacterium. RNAcentral describes it as "partial 16S ribosomal RNA". It matches the Rfam family "Bacterial small subunit ribosomal RNA", at positions 28 to 507 of the family's 1533-position model. The record is from RNAcentral.